RNAcentral lists this transfer RNA (73 nucleotides) under Diutina rugosa. Its description in RNAcentral is "Candida rugosa tRNA". It matches the Rfam family "tRNA". Rfam says of the family: Transfer RNA (tRNA) molecules are approximately 80 nucleotides in length. The record is from Rfam by way of RNAcentral. RNAcentral also lists the same sequence under 2 other names. Lineage: Eukaryota; Fungi; Ascomycota; Pichiomycetes; Serinales; Debaryomycetaceae.
GCCUGGUUAGCUCAAUCGGUAGAGCGUGAGACUCUUAAUCUCAAGGCUGCGGGUUCGAGCCCCGCAUUGGGCU